UGUGUAUGUGUGUAUGUGUGUGUGUGUGUGUGUGUUUGUAUAUAUAUAUAUAUAUAUAUAUACAAACACACACACAUACACACACACACACACACACACA
This is a non-coding RNA of Pelobates cultripes (western spadefoot toad), 100 nucleotides long. NCBI's taxonomy places the organism in Eukaryota, Metazoa, Chordata, Amphibia, Anura, Pelobatidae. The record is from the annotation of a GenBank genome assembly.